Non-coding RNA from Zonotrichia albicollis (white-throated sparrow), 986 nucleotides. Lineage: Eukaryota; Metazoa; Chordata; Aves; Passeriformes; Passerellidae. The record is from RefSeq and is a predicted model, not a curated record.
CUGUGAGGAGAAGGAAAUGUUAGUGCUUGGAGGGGCUGCCUACAAGAAAUCUCAAGGAGCUAAGCAUGAGAACGAAUCUCUCAGAAGGCUGUGGGCAAAGGCUGAGAAGGUUCCUGUGGGCUUCUGUAAAGCAGCAAGAUGAAAAUCAAACGGGAGAACGCAGAGCACCACAUAAAGUGAUUCAAAGAAACACUGGCGCCUCCUAAUUUGGAAGAAAAAUGCAAAACAUAAACGUUAUCAUCUUUCUUAGAGGAAAAAACUUGUGCUACCAUGCUGGAAAACUGGUAGUGAGCUGGCCUAGCAAGUUUCCACUGUGAUGGCCAGUUUCACCCUAAUUUGGGGAGAAAAAAAAUUGAGUGCAAAGCAAGUGUUCAACAGACAGAUCCUGAGCUACCAGUCAGCAUGUGCAGACUUCUCAAUAUUGAAAUAGUGCUCCCACUCCAAGUGUAUCCUGAAAACAAGGAUCCAAUACAGCUUUCAUCAGAAAGCAGAGCAAAGAGCUAUCUAAUGUAGCCAGAAUUAAAAAGUGAAUUCUCGGAUCCCCAGGUGUGUGCAUCAAUGUCUGUGUCUACCCAAGCAAGUGAUUUAUUUCAUGCAUAUGCAGUACAUGAAAAAGUAAAGUAAAACAAGCACAUGCAAGGGGACGGGGAGAGUCCUAUGCUCCAAAUAUCCAGAUCCAGGACAGUGACAUUUCACUGGACUAGCAGACAGGUGGGCUCACAGCUGAGUGUCCCACUUUUGAGCAGACAUCUAGGCAGAGCAGUUCCUACUGUGUGACUGUUCCAACUCAGGCCAUGCACGCUAAGGCAGCUAGGAUCACAUGGCCAGGAAGCAAAGCAACAUCCACUAAAAGAAGAUCUGUUUUGGGAUCUCUGACACCAGCCUCAGUGGUUGAGCAGUUACAUCUGCUCACCAGCAAAACAUGGGUGUGCAGGGCAGAAAGUGAUGCGGCUGGAUGUGAGCACAAGGAAGGAUCUGUUUGAGGA